This 335-nucleotide ribosomal RNA is filed under the name uncultured Pseudomonadota bacterium. Its description in RNAcentral is "bacterial SSU rRNA". It matches the Rfam family "Bacterial small subunit ribosomal RNA", at positions 46 to 380 of the family's 1533-position model. The record is from RNAcentral. Lineage: Bacteria; Pseudomonadati; Pseudomonadota.
AGGCCUUAUACAUGCAAGUCGAGCGAGUAAAGUAUCUUCGGAUAUGAGUAAAGCGGCGGACGGGUGAGUAACGCGUAGGAAUCUACCUAGUAGAAGGGGAUAGCCCGGGGAAACUCGGAUUAAUACCGUAUACCUCCUUUGGGAGAAAGAGGGCCUCUCUUUGAUGCUCUCGCUACUAGAUGAGCCUGCGUAAGAUUAGCUAGUUGGUGAGGUAAUGGCUCACCAAGGCGACGAUCUUUAGCUGGUCUGAGAGGACGAUCAGCCACAUUGGGACUGAGACACGGCCCAGACUCCUACGGGAGGCAGCAGUAGGGAAUAUUGGACAAUGAGCGCAA